UGGGGAUCUAGCUCAGUUGGUAGAGUGCUUGUCUUGCAUGCACAAAGCCCUGGGUUCAAUCCCCAGCACCUAA
Molecule: transfer RNA, 73 nt
Filed under: Marmota monax (woodchuck)
Lineage: Eukaryota; Metazoa; Chordata; Mammalia; Rodentia; Sciuridae
Description: tRNA.Ala
Rfam family: tRNA (bases 9-66)
About the family: Transfer RNA (tRNA) molecules are approximately 80 nucleotides in length. Their secondary structure includes four short double-helical elements and three loops (D, anti-codon, and T loops).
Source: RNAcentral